RNAcentral lists this ribosomal RNA (528 nucleotides) under Triticum aestivum (bread wheat). RNAcentral describes it as "partial small subunit ribosomal RNA". Lineage: Eukaryota; Viridiplantae; Streptophyta; Magnoliopsida; Poales; Poaceae. The record is from RNAcentral.
AUGAAGGAGGUUCGGCACAGAGUCCAGAGCGUGAACAGGCCUUCACAUUGGCAGCCUCUAGCCGCUACUUGUGUCAAGAUCAACGUUGAUGCCGCUGCACCGAGGAAUGCCAGAUAUGGGGCGGUCGGGGCUAUAUGUAGAAGUUCAGAAGGAAUGUUCCUGGGAGCGUCGGUGCUGGUGGUGAGGCAUGUUACCGAUCCACAGACCCUUGAAGCCAUCGCAAUCAGGGAAGGAUUAGCGCUGGCUGACGAUCUCUACCAGAGGCGAGUUCAUGUUGCUUCGGACUACAAGAAUGUGGUGAACGAUCUGAAGAAGGAGAAUGCAUCAUCAUAUGGAGCGAUUGCACAUGAAAUUAUAAACCACUCUUUAGCUUUUGAUUUUUGUAAGUUCAGUCAUGAGUUUAGAAGCUCUAAUUUUGAAGCUCACAACCUAGCGUAGCAUGCUCUGUCGCUCGGGAUUGACCGCCGUGUGUGGUUGGGUCAACCUGGGGAUCUUACUUUCGUUUCUGUAAACAUUGUGACAACUUAA